AUCUAUACAUUAAAGGUUCGAGACAGGACAUUCACACCAGAGAGCUAUUGUUGUUUUGGCUGUUGUCAUUUUUGUAUUUGACAAUCUAAGUGAAAAGAGGUUAGUGCCCCUAAGUAAAUAAUCACAUAUUACAGAUUUUAAAAA
Long non-coding RNA from Pipistrellus kuhlii (Kuhl's pipistrelle), 144 nucleotides. RefSeq lists it as uncharacterized. The record is from RefSeq and is a predicted model, not a curated record. The transcript is spliced from 4 exons. Lineage: Eukaryota; Metazoa; Chordata; Mammalia; Chiroptera; Vespertilionidae.